AAUUUUGGACAAUGGGGGAAACCCUGAUCCAGCCAUCCCGCGUGUAUGAUGAAGGCCUNCUGGUUNUNAAGUACUUUUUGCAGAGNCGAAAAGGUAUCUCCUAAUACGAGAUACUGCUGACGGUAUCUGCAGAAUAAGCACCGGCUAACUACGUGACAGCAGCCGCGGUAAUACGUAGGGUGCAAGCGUUAAUCGGAAUUACUGGGCGUAAAGCGUGUGUAGGCGGUUCGGAAAGAAAGCUGUGAAAACCCAGGGAUCAACCUUGGAACUGCAUUUUUAACAGCCGAGCUAGAGUAUGUCAGAGGGGGGUAGAAUUCCACGUGUAGCAGUGAAAUGCGUAGAUAUGUGGAGGAAUACCGUUGGCGAAGGCAGCCCCCUGGGAUAAUACUGACGCUCAGACACGAAAGAGUGGGGAGCAAACAGG
Molecule: ribosomal RNA, 424 nt
Filed under: uncultured bacterium
Lineage: Bacteria
Description: partial 16S ribosomal RNA
Rfam family: Bacterial small subunit ribosomal RNA
Source: RNAcentral